AAGGAAUUAGUUAAAUAUAAUAUUAAAAUGUCAACUUAAAGUAACCAUGUUGGUAUUCCUUG
RNAcentral lists this transfer RNA (62 nucleotides) under Zhengitettix curvispinus. RNAcentral describes it as "tRNA-Asp". The record is from RNAcentral. Lineage: Eukaryota; Metazoa; Arthropoda; Insecta; Orthoptera; Tetrigidae.